This 516-nucleotide long non-coding RNA is filed under the name Hordeum vulgare. RNAcentral describes it as "long non-coding RNA (HVUL_LNC010772)". The record is from RNAcentral. Lineage: Eukaryota; Viridiplantae; Streptophyta; Magnoliopsida; Poales; Poaceae.
UAUAUAUGCUAGCUGAGGUAGUACUAGUACUUAUGGUACGGGUUUCCUUCUUCGACGCUGUUCACUGUUCCAUCGGCGGGCGAUCGAUCGAUCGGGUGGGGCUGGACCAUUAUUUCGCUAAUGCUUAGUUAUUUAUUUUCUCUUUUGUUUACACACGUUUAUCAACACGGUAGCAUGAAUGUGUGCUAUAACAGUUUCAAUGAGGGUUUCGUGCAUGAUAUAUAGUACCAUGCAGAUCGAUCAGCUGAGCCACCGGUACCCCUGGGAAAUGAGAAACUUCACAUGAAAUAAUACUCAACCAACGCAUACUACGUAUACAAGAAUCAGGAACAGUUCACACGUCCCAGCGGCACGCAAGACGAAACGGUGGGCGUCCAUCAAACACGUCGACAACAUGCGUGAGUCGCAGGCUCACGGCCUGAGCGCCGUAUGAACUUUACGGGAAAGCGCUAGUACAAUUUCCCAGAAGAUACGUUGUGAAGAACUUUCGGUAACCCUGUCGUGCAUGUUCUAGUC